RNAcentral lists this non-coding RNA (26 nucleotides) under Cricetulus griseus (Chinese hamster). The record is from RNAcentral. Lineage: Eukaryota; Metazoa; Chordata; Mammalia; Rodentia; Cricetidae.
AUGAAACGGGCCACCCAGAGAUGAUC